UNCCUGUUGCUGACUACAAGAGAUGAGAGUG
RNAcentral lists this non-coding RNA (31 nucleotides) under Homo sapiens (human). The record is from RNAcentral. Lineage: Eukaryota; Metazoa; Chordata; Mammalia; Primates; Hominidae.